This 24-nucleotide non-coding RNA is filed under the name Arabidopsis thaliana (thale cress). The record is from RNAcentral. Lineage: Eukaryota; Viridiplantae; Streptophyta; Magnoliopsida; Brassicales; Brassicaceae.
ACAAAAGUGACCAGAGCCUUAGAU